UCUCUCUCUCUCUCAAUCAAUCAAUCAAAAUCAAUCAAUCAAUCAAUAUAUCUAUCUAUAUCUCGACUCAUUUAUAAGGACAACCAAAUAUUCUGAAAACAAGUUGUACUGUUUAUACUGCUCUAUGAAUAUUAAAGUGAAGCUAUAAUCCAUUGCCUACAAGUAUUGAAUCUGUGUAUUGAGUUACGUGGAAGGGUCGUAGAGGGGUCGUGUCCAGUGAUUUUGUGAUUUAGUAUUGCUUUAGUAGCCCGGCGAUAUACCGAUCAAUUUAGUAGUAAGCUAGUAGUCCAGUGAUUUAGUGGUGAUUUGGCAAAAGUUUAAGAUUUUCAUGGACUGUUUUGUGAUCCUAGUGAUAGUUUUGCACAACUUCAUCAUCUUAAACGAGAGGAUCACCCAUGGAAACCCAGCAAGUCUUCUCUGUGGCCCGGGGAAAUAGUCGUAAUGGGCGCCCGACACGUUGAAGAUUAUAGACCUCAGUACCGCCUGUUCAUUAGUUAUCCAUUCGGUAGUUCAGGGGUAUUGAAGGGUAAGUUAAGAGGUUUGAAGUAAUAAUUAAGGCCCAGGAUGUCGUAAGGUGUUGAGUUGAUGGAAAAAAGUGUGCGUGAUCUAUCGACCCUUUUAUUAGUUAGAUAUGUACGUGUUGCUGAGGAAGGAGAGGAGUUCAAUGCGUAUGUGAGAGUUGCAGAGGUUAGUGGUUCAGUCGUUUACUUACUCAUUCAAUUCCUCGAUAACUUUUUGAUAUACGAUUAUACAAUUGAAGUAAAACACGGAGAUAAUGACUAAAGGUAUAUUGAUGGUAGAAAUUUGUAAACAUCGCUGCUACAAACAUAGGAAUAUCCAUAUAUAUUCGUAAGAUGCAUUAAUAUUUUUAGUUUGCAAAUCAUACCAACUAAAGCCUCGAAGUCUCACUGAGGAAACCGGCGCAGAAGUUGGUCCCUCUAGCACAGUGAAGCCUCGGAGCCCCUCGACGAAUGUGACCUCCGUGUUCAAGGUUCUAGUCUCCCCAUUCGUGUGCCGGCUGCUGUGUAACUCGUGACCCCCUCCCAGACGACAGGCUGAGUCCGGGUUGAGCUGAGGCCAAGCAGAUUAGAGAUUCCUUGUGGACGAUCCAAGUGGCCGCGGUAAAGAACAGAUCGUUGCCGCCACACACCAAGCCGUGACGACUGAUUCAGCACCACCAAGGAUCUAGACUCCUCCAGCACCAGCAAGCACCGGAAGAAUGGUGAGAUGUUGAAGGAAGAGUGCCUGGAGGAGCCAAGCAGACCAGCCACAGCCUCCCUCCAUCAGCCGUGUGCCUUCCAGAGCCACUCCAGCAGCUUGUGUCCCAUGAGAGGCCUUUACUAGCAACCGCAACAGCUCCAGUUUAGUUGCAAGUUACUGUUUAUGAACUAGCACAGCAUCUGUUUGGGAUGUCAUUCUUAACCCGUCCGUUGCGAUUGGCAUGGAUUUGGCCUUCACUUGUAGCCUUGGUAACAUAGUCCCAAGUCUGACUCUGUGGUGGAUAGUGUAGAGUUUCCCAUGUGGUAUUGGUGUGCUGGAUUUCCCCUCCCAAGGUACAUGACUUUACAUUUUUCUUCAUUAAAUUAAGCUGCUACUUUUUGUUCCAUUCCUAUAGCUUGGUGAUGUCUUCUCGUAGGAAACCCAGUCAAGGGGUUAAUUCCUAUUAGAUUGUCCAGCUGUCACAUGUUGUACACAUAUGACCUCCAGAAGUCCAUUUCUUAUUCUUUAGAGACAAUGAUUUCUUCAUACUUUGUUCUUUAAUCCAUAUUGAUCUCUUGUUGAUUCUAAAUUUUAUAGCCAGCAUUUUUCUCUUCAUUUCUCAGUGUGCUUUUUAGGCUUUCUCUUUAGAUCUUUUGUAAGGUCACUGCCAAGUUUGUGAACUAUGUGUUAGGACUGGCAAGAUAAACUGAUUAUACUUUUUCGUCAGGGAUAGUGGCAGGUUGCUAUUCAUAUUACUAAGGUUACCACAAGAUCUCCAUCACAUUCCUCUUCUCUCUGAGUUCCUUUCUGUGUUCAGGGUUUGCACUGACUGUCAUGUCUCCUCAAGGUUACCAUGAGCUCCCCAUCCCUUUCCUCUUCUCUCCCUGAUUUUGUUUUCUUUUGUGAUCAGGGUUUGCAAUGAUUGUUGUGCGUGUGUACUCCACUUCUCAAGUUAAUUUCCAAUCCCCCUUCGUUGUCCUCCCAACAGUGUUGUUCUAAAUAAUUUGUUGUACAGGGAUAGGUUUCUCACUCUUGUCAUGUACUGUGGGCAGCUGGCCUGGUUAAUAACAUAUACUGCUUGUU
Molecule: long non-coding RNA, 2283 nt
Organism: Eriocheir sinensis (Chinese mitten crab)
Lineage: Eukaryota; Metazoa; Arthropoda; Malacostraca; Decapoda; Varunidae
Exons: 2
Source: RefSeq, a predicted model, not a curated record